AAUAAGUGCAGUUUUGUACUAUUCAUAUCCAAUGUUUGACCGUUCGUCCUAUUUGAAAAUUUCUUGUGAUUACUAUUUUUGUGUUAUCAGAUGAUAAAACAAGAAUAGUACUUUAUGGGCGACUAUUUUUUUUAAUUUUUUCAUAAAUUUUUUAAAUAAAAUAAACGGUCAAACACUGGACACGGUUCUUCACGACUGCACUUAUU
Oryza barthii is the source of this 206-nucleotide non-coding RNA. NCBI's taxonomy places the organism in Eukaryota, Viridiplantae, Streptophyta, Magnoliopsida, Poales, Poaceae. The record is from Rfam.